UCCAAAAGUCUUUAAAAUACAUAUAUUAUAAAUUAUGAAUUUCACUAAGAUUUUAGCAGUGACAUCUUUUGUUAUAAUGAUUUUUGUAGCAAAUAGUAAUGUGAAUGGUAAGAUAAACUUGUCUUGUGCAGCAAAAUGUGCAAAGACAUGUUUCUUCCAUCCUUCUUGCGCAAAACCUUGCUUUAAGGAAUGUCUUCAUUGUGAAGAAUUCAAUUGUAAGCUUGCUUGUUCAAUGGAACAUCGUUCUAAAUUUAAAGAAGAUAAUGAGCUACUGGAAAACUGCUGGAAUGAAUGUUCAACAGAAGAUCACACCUAAUUAGAAAGGCAUGUACUAUAUAUUAUGCUACUUGUUUAGCAAAAGCAAACUAGAAAAGAAACUUGAUGAGCCAAAUGUAACCAAGAUGAUGGUGUUAAUAAAGUGCUGUUUUUAAA
Molecule: long non-coding RNA, 432 nt
Organism: Capsicum annuum
Lineage: Eukaryota; Viridiplantae; Streptophyta; Magnoliopsida; Solanales; Solanaceae
Exons: 2
Source: RefSeq, a predicted model, not a curated record